ACCAGUGGUAGUCAGCUGUCCAGUGCUUGCCAUGCCUGUGAUUGCGUUACACUGCUGGGAGAAUAAAGCACUACAGCCUCAUGCUGGUGGUCACUGUCACUGUUCUGGUGACAUGUCGCACUGGUAUUUAGUAGUGGUGGAAUUCCUUGAGAGUGCGCCAUACAAGCCCUUGUUUGGUGCUAGUCUGGAAUUGUACAGC
Molecule: small nucleolar RNA, 199 nt
Organism: Pseudophryne corroboree (corroboree frog)
Lineage: Eukaryota; Metazoa; Chordata; Amphibia; Anura; Myobatrachidae
Product: small nucleolar RNA SNORA74
Exons: 1
Source: RefSeq, a predicted model, not a curated record